UUCAUUUUUUUUUUUUUUUCAUUUUCUCUUUGGGGCUUGAAAACCGGUUGGAGGGAAAUGAUAUUUCAUUUCCCCUCCAACGCUGACCCCCCCUCUCUCUCUCUCUCUCUGAAAUUUCUCCUCCGUCAGCUUCCCCGUCCCUCUCGGCGUCCGGCGUCCAUCUCCGGCAAUCCCCUCUCUCUCUCUCUCUCUCUCUCUCUCUCAACUGCAUCAUCCGUACAGUCCCCGUCCCUCUCGGCGUCCGGCGUCCCUCUCUCUCUGCAUCGUCCGGUCGUCUCUUCGCCGGCUUCUCUCUCAGCGGUCGGCCUCCUCUCUCGGCGUCCGGCGGUCGUCUCCGGCAGAUUUCCUCUCUCUCAGGCAGAUUUCCUCUCUGCAUCGUCCGUAGCUCACUCGCCGGUAGUCCCCGUCCCUCUCGGCGGUCGGAGUCGUCCGGUGUCGUCCGGCGUCCCUCUCUGACUAAAAAAAAAUAGGGGUUUUGCCAGUAUGGAGAUUCUUGCAAAUAUUUUCAUCCGAAUAACAACUUACCAAAUGUGAAUGCUCAAGGUGUAUCAGGUAGGUAGUCAAGACAUUGGACUAUGCCGAAAGUGUAAAAUUGCAGUAUCGCUCACUCGCCAAGGUUUCAGAUGACCCAUCCUUGAAGCCAAUGUCAAGCAAGAUGGCACUAAACUGGCUCUAGAGUUGCAGCAUACCAAAUGGAAAUGUUGUAUAACGCAUACUUUACCAAUAUCCCACCCUAGAAAUAUUUUGUAACUCUAUAGAGGAAGAGGGUUCUUGCUUGUACUUGUAUUGUUGUAUUUCUUACAAGCUAACAUCAUGAUUAUUCACAAAAGAAUACACAAAGACAUUUUGUUUGUACUCCACUGAGGGAUGCUGUCUACGUUCAUGUAGCCAAGCGACCCUAUGACUGGUUCGGGAAGAGUGAGGAUUGCUUAGUUUUGCAAGAGAAAGAGCUGCUUGAACGUUUCAUUGAUAGGGAAGAAAUGAUGGACAAGAGUAAAUCAGAUUUGUGAUUAGCUUUUUAAAUGCCAUCAGCCAUAUUUUGUUUGUAUAUGCAUUGGUUGAUAUUCUUAAGGGAACAUAUAAAUAUAAUGUUGUAAAUGUGGGGUGUAGCUUGGCAAAGCUUUUUUUGUCCUAAGUGGGUGUUAUAUUACUAGGAUUACAGAUGAUCAGAUACUAUGCAACGUAAUUCAACACUUACCUUU
Alnus glutinosa is the source of this 1202-nucleotide long non-coding RNA. RefSeq lists it as uncharacterized. The record is from RefSeq and is a predicted model, not a curated record. The transcript is spliced from 3 exons. Lineage: Eukaryota; Viridiplantae; Streptophyta; Magnoliopsida; Fagales; Betulaceae.